AAUCAACGCUGGCGGCGUGCCUCAGACAUGCAAGUCGAACGCGAAAGUCCCCUCCGGGGGACGAAGUAGAGUGGCGCACGGGUGAGUAACACGUAGGUAAUCUACCUUCGGGCGGGGAAUAACAACCGGAAACGGUUGCUAAUACCGCAUAAUGCAGCGGCACCUAAUGGUGACAGUUGUUAAAGCGGGGGAGUCGCAAGACCUCGCACCUGAAGAGGAGCCUGCGGCGGAUUAGCUAGNGGUAGGGUAACAGCCUACCAAGGCAACGAUCCGUAGCCGGCCUGAGAGGGCGGUCGGCCACACUGACACUGACAUACGGGUCAGACUCCUACGGGAGGCAGCAGUCGGG
RNAcentral lists this ribosomal RNA (349 nucleotides) under uncultured bacterium. RNAcentral describes it as "bacterial SSU rRNA". It matches the Rfam family "Bacterial small subunit ribosomal RNA", at positions 32 to 359 of the family's 1533-position model. The record is from RNAcentral.